GCUCAGCUAAAUCCAGAUAGUGUCUUGUCAUUUUAAAAUAGUGUUUUUUAUGUUUAUGUGCCUCUCAGAAAGAACUUCAGCAUAUUGCUCACCUGUGGAACACCCACAUCAUUCAGAGAAGCAGAAAUGCAGUUGCACCUAGUGGCCGGCCUCACAUGAUGUACAUGCUUCCUCAGCUUUUUGGGGAAAGGACCAUCUCAAACAUGCAUCUGUGCAAGCAGUACAAACAUGCAGAGCACAAUGCAUACAACGAGGACCUUACCCAUGUGAUGAGACUGCCAUCCACUGGAAGGAUAAGUCCCUAGUCUUAGGGUCACAGACAGUGGUCACUAGGGUUGGGCAUCGUUUGGAUUUUACCGAUGCCCGCCCCCCAAGCAAAGGCCACAGCCCCCCCACCAGCAUCCCGGGCUGACAGGAGACUCCCACGCCAAACCCAACGGGAGAGCAGGCGCAGGGCGAAGGCGGAGGAGGAGGGGAGGACGAGACAGGGGACAGAGAGCAAGAGGAAAGAGUGGCAGAGAAACAUGCAGGCCCCCAGCCCCAAGGGCCACCCAGACGUGCAUGGAGGAGGCAGGAGAGUAACACCAAACCACCCAGGGACCACGAGAGCACCUGAAAGGGAAGCACGCCCGCGCAGAGGCACCCAACACACCCCAGCAAGCCACCCAGAUGUGAUUGAUCCACUGAAGCAGAGGAUGAAUGCUGUAACCAUCACUGCUGUGUUACACAUGGACCAAAGUUUCCUCUCAGCCUGUUGUUAAUAGAAAUGAAACACUUUCUCAUCUGCUUUGCUUCAGUUCAUUUAGGGCCAACAUUGUUGAAUUGAUUGAUCACCACAUUUGACACUACACAGAUAUACAGUAUGUAUGAAUAACGUGCUUCAAGUAGAGAAAAUAAGACAUGAAAGCAUUAGAAAAUGAGUGUUUUUCCUCUUUUUUAAUGUAAUAUCUUUAUGUAGGUCAAACAGUCAAACAUUGUUUUGUGUUGUACAUGUGAGUGACAUAUAUAACAUUCUGUCAACUGGACCUUCCAUGCUGUGGUUGUUGGGUGGGUGGGGGGGUUCAUGUUUGUACAGACUGGUAAAGAGGGCUGAUCUGUGGUGGACACAGAGCUGGACUCUGGUGGCAGAAUGACAGACCCUGGAGAAGACUCCAUCCAUCCUGGAGAAGACAAAGCCCCCACUGCACUGGACCAUGAUCACACAGAACAGCUGUUUAGUCUCUGAGCUGCUCCACAAACACUCAGGAAGUAUGCAUCAUUAAUAAUAUUAUUAUCCACCGGUAUAUGUGAAGUUGCCCGUAGUAUUGUAGUUGUUGCUAAUGAAUUCAACCAGGACUCCAAGCUCCGAGUAUGCUUUACGACGACUGUGUCCUCUUGAACUAAAGUAUCCUCUUUACCUGUCCGUCACUAAUGUUAAAGUUGUGCCAACUGCAAAUCUUUAAUAUCUUUAUAUUCUAACUCGAAAAGUAAAAAUCAAUGAAUGGAUGAAUAUUCAGCGCUGUGGAUGACGCCAUUGUGAUGAACUCUGACCCGGAACCAGUCUCUGUGUUUAAAAAAAAAUAAAUAAAAAAUUAAGAGAUAAUCCCCA
This is a long non-coding RNA of Gouania willdenowi (blunt-snouted clingfish), 1588 nucleotides long. The record is from Ensembl. Lineage: Eukaryota; Metazoa; Chordata; Actinopteri; Blenniiformes; Gobiesocidae.